AGCCGCCGCGGUAAUACGUAGUGCCAACGUUAUCGAAAUUACUGGGCGUAAAGCGUCCGCAGGGGUUUUGUAAGUGUAGUGUUAAAUCUAUUGGCUCAAUGAUAGGCUGCAUUGCAACUACAAAACUAGAGGUAUGUAGAGGUGUACGGAAUUCCCAGAGUAGGAGUAAUAUCCGUAGAUACUGGGAGGAACACCAAUAGCGAAGGCAGUUCACUUGGACAUCACCUGACCCUCAGGGACGAAAGCGUGGGGAGCGAACCGGAUUAGAUACCCGGGUAGUCCACGCCCUAAACGAUGGUUACUCGGUGUGUGCGGCCUCGACCCCGUACGUGCCUAAGCUAACGCGUUAAGUAACCCGCCUGUGGAGUACGGCCGCAAGGCUAAAACAUAAAGGAAUUGACGGGGAUCCACACAAGCGGUGGAGCAUGUGGUUUAAUUCGACACUAAGCGAAGGACCUCACCAAGGCUUGACAUCCUCGGAACCUCUUGGAAACAAGAGGGUGCCCGCAAGGGAACCGAGUGACAGGUGCUGCAUGGUCGUCGUCAGCUCGUGUCGUGAGAUGUAGGGUUAAGUCCCGCAACGAGCGCAACCCUUACCCGUAGUUGCCAGCGGGUGAUGCCGGGGACUCUACGGGGACUGCCGGUGAUAAACCGGAGGAAGGUGAGGACGACGUCAAGUCAUCAUGGCCCUUACGUCCAGGGCGACACACGUGCUACAAUGGUCGGUACAGUGGGCUGCAAUCCCGCGAGGGUGAGCCAAUCCCAAAAAGCCGGCCUAAGUUCGGAUCGGAGUCUGCAACUCGACUCCGUGAAGCCGGAAUCGCUAGUAAUCGCGGAUCAGCCAUGCCGCGGUGAAUACGUUCCCGGGCUUUGUACACACCGCCCGUCACGCCAUGGAAGCCGGGGGGACCCGAAGUCAGUGGCCUAACCUUCGGGAAGGAGCUGCCUAAGGUCAAUCCGGUGACUGGGGCGAAGUCGUAACAAGGUAGCC
RNAcentral lists this ribosomal RNA (991 nucleotides) under uncultured bacterium. RNAcentral describes it as "bacterial SSU rRNA". It matches the Rfam family "Bacterial small subunit ribosomal RNA", at positions 510 to 1501 of the family's 1533-position model. The record is from RNAcentral.